CCAAGAAAAUGGAGUACAGUUUGGUUUGUCGAUUCUCCCCCCCCUUCCCUCUUAAAAAGACCCUGACAUCCGGAGGACAACUUUAACCUAUCUGAGGCACUCAAUUUGGUUUUCUAUUCGCUCAAGGAAAAUGAUGUUCGGUUUAGUUUGUCGACCCCUCCAUCCCCCAGAGAAGCUGACAUCCAGGGGACAGCUUGAACCUAUCUGAGGCGCUCAGUUUGGUGAGGAUGGACCAGAAUCGACGAUUGUCUGAGAAAUUCUAUUGGGUCCUAUUUAUGUGUGUGCAAGGAAAUAUUUGGAUGGAAAUUCAAUCAUUUGGAUUAUAUUCCUGCUAGACUGAACCGGAGAAUGCUGAGACUGAACAAAUAGAUGUCGGGGUUAGUGAAAGUUGUCUGCAGAAAAUUCAGCAAUAUCACUUGUGAUUUUGAUGGAGCUCUAAAAUACACUGAGAUGGGUCAGGAUGGGUUUGAGCUUGGCCAAAUCUAAACGUUAGGACAACAUUGAUACACAUAGGCCCCUAAUUAAUAUUAAAGUAGUGUAAGGGCCUGGUUUUAAUCCACCCUUACCCAUCUUAGAAUAUUGUAGACUCCAUAUCACGAAGAUUGUUGGGUUGGAAAUGGACAACUAUAAACUUCUUAUUCCUUUGCGAACACGUCACAUCGCGGGAACGUUCUUGAGAAGAAACACCCAUCAAUUUCUAACAAGAUUCAAAAUCCAGAAUAUCUUCUAUGGUACAUUGUAAGUAUGGUAAGAUAUUAUUAAAUUUACUUUGGAAUUCAUAAAUAUUUUCGCCUUGACAUUUGAUUUCGUUUUUAUUGAAUUACUUUUAUUGGUAUAUUUACUGUGGAUUUGGUGAAAUAAAUAUUUUUGACCUAAUGGAUAUUAUUAGAUUAUUACUGCCUAGAAAUACUGUAAGAUAGCAUCGAUUUGCACAGUCAAAUGAUAUACAAAAUGAACCGGAAAUCGUAAAUUCAAUUGAAUACUGAUCUUCCAAAAAUAUCCUUUAUGAAGUUUAUGCGAUCCGCUUUUUUUUUUUUUACUAUGGUCUUUCCUGACCAUGUGCAAAUCAAUGCCUACAUAAUAAUGUACCGAUACCAAUAGAUUUGUGCACUAGUACACAAUAAAAGUAAACAUAUUGUGUUAUUGUUUAAGUAAACUAUGCUUUUACGUUAUAUAUGUAUCGAUUUAAUCUGAAAUAUAGAAUAAAAGAACUACGAUAUAUGAAAUAUUGACGUAGUGGUAGGAAAGUAGAAUUAUUGAUAUCCUAGCCUUAGAUAUAGAUAAUUAUAUGAUUAAUUGGUAAUGGCUGAUUAAGUAAUUUAUGAUGAUGAUGGAUGAUUGAUGACUAUCAAAAUAAUAAAUGAUAAUACAAAAAAGCAUAGAUCUAUAAUAGGUGGAUUAUAAUUUUUUUUUAGAGAUGAACAUAAUAUUGCUAUCCAAGCAUUAGAUAUGGAUAAUGUUAUGAUUAAUAGGUAAUGGCUGAUUUAGUAUUAAAUUGAUGAUUGAUAAUCAGAAUAACUACGAAGAAGGCUUGAUCUAUAAUAGGAGAAUAAGAGGGCAUUUCGUAGAGAUUUUGGCAUUAGUAAUUGAUGAUGCCUAUCAUACAUACCGAUCUAAUAAGAAAAAAACGACGACGGAAAAUAACAACUAGGACAAUGAAAAUUUUUUUUUG
Molecule: long non-coding RNA, 1672 nt
Filed under: Strongylocentrotus purpuratus (purple sea urchin)
Lineage: Eukaryota; Metazoa; Echinodermata; Echinoidea; Camarodonta; Strongylocentrotidae
Description: uncharacterized LOC105445358
Source: RNAcentral